UUGAACGCUGGCGGAAUGCUUUACACAUGCAAGUCGAGCGGCAGCGCGGGGCAACCUGGCGGCGAGCGGCGAACGGGUGAGUAACAUAUCGGAACGUACCCUAUCGUGGGGGAUAACACAUCGAAAGAUGUGCUAAUACCGCAUACGACCUGAGGGUGAAAGCGGGGGAUCGCAAGACCUCGCGCGACAGGAGCGGCCGAUAUCGGAUUAGCUAGUUGGUGAGGUAAAGGCUCACCAAGGCGACGAUCCGUAGCUGGUCUGAGAGGACGACCAGCCACACUGGAACUGAGACACGGCCCAGACUCCUACGGGAGGCAGCAGUGGGGAAUUUUGGACAAUGGGGGCAACCCUGAUCCAGCCAUGCCGCGUGAGUGAAGAAGGCCUUCGGGUUGUAAAGCUCUUUCGGAGGGGAAGAAACGGUUACGGCCAAUACCCGUGACUAAUGACGGUACCCUAAGAAGAAGCACCGGCUAACUACGU
Molecule: ribosomal RNA, 480 nt
Filed under: uncultured bacterium
Lineage: Bacteria
Description: bacterial SSU rRNA
Rfam family: Bacterial small subunit ribosomal RNA
Source: RNAcentral